Catenovulum agarivorans DS-2 is the source of this 117-nucleotide regulatory RNA element. It matches the Rfam family "ALIL pseudoknot". Lineage: Bacteria; Pseudomonadati; Pseudomonadota; Gammaproteobacteria; Alteromonadales; Alteromonadaceae. The record is from Rfam.
AGCUUUUUUCGCCCAGGCGGAGCUCGACCGCAAACCGAAAUAAUGGUUGAAUUUAUUGACGAAAAUCGUGAACUUUAUGGUGUCGAGCCAAUUUGUGAACACUUACCAAUUGCACCA